UUCGAAGCCCCCUUUCGUUAUUUGGUUGAGUUUCAGUUCCAAAGUAGUGGAUUGCUGAUGUUCAAUUCUUUUGGUUGAGGUUCUUGAAUUCGGGACUUGGAGGAUGGGAAUUGAAAUGAAAGGGGAGCUUCUGGUCUUGGUUUCGAUUUCAGUUUUGAUGGGAUGAGGAAGAACUGAUGAGGGCCAUGAGGUGCAGUAGGUCAUUGAGUUCAUGACCUUGGCAAGAAUCGGGAUAGGAGCGAAGUUUUGGAUGAAGGACCUUAGUCUGAGGCCACCACUGCGUCGAAGAGUUCUGUAAGGGACAUGGUAAAGGUCUUGGGUAUCUUGAACAUAUAUUGUCGUGAUCUGAUUGUAUAUGUUGAAGUUGUGGUUUCAUUGAAUACACGAAGUGAACUUUGGUUUGCAAUA
This is a long non-coding RNA of Rosa chinensis, 408 nucleotides long. RefSeq lists it as uncharacterized. The record is from RefSeq and is a predicted model, not a curated record. Lineage: Eukaryota; Viridiplantae; Streptophyta; Magnoliopsida; Rosales; Rosaceae. The transcript has 2 exons.